This 261-nucleotide long non-coding RNA is filed under the name Capsicum annuum. RNAcentral's name for it is "long non-coding RNA (CANN_LNC010531)". Lineage: Eukaryota; Viridiplantae; Streptophyta; Magnoliopsida; Solanales; Solanaceae. The record is from RNAcentral.
AGGAUAAUAGCCAACUAAGUGUGAAUGAUAGUUUGUCUUUAAGUGAGCCGAAUGUGCCUUCAUUUUGUGAUGAUAAUGUACAACUUGAGAUUGUGGAUACACUAGUUGAUUCACCUAGUGUUGAAGCCAUUGUGGAAAGUGGUAGUACAUUGUCUUAUGGAAGUCAUGAAGACCAACUUGUGUGUGAAAAUAAUGAUGUUGAACAUGUUGGCCGAAUAACUAAGGAUGACCCUCUAGUUGUUUUUGUUAUUGACCAUGAUA